ACAGAAAUGACUGUUUGUUUUUUGGUGUAUAUAUAUUCAGGACAACCUGUCAACUUUUCUCUCUGUGAAUCCUAGUUUUUCUGAGGGUUUCUGCUUGCUGUCUUUCCGCGAAUUCUUUGGGGGGUUUUUGCGCGUAGUUGACUUUGUGGGACUUCAUUUUCAGGAGGCUGUACCGUUUGGUGCUCAAUUCUGGUGAGUUUCGUAAACCCCUGGUGGCAAUUCUAGGGGGUUCUUUGAAUUGGGUUCCGCAGGAUUUAUAGGUAAUUCGAGCUCAUCGGAGCCUGGCGCUGUGUUUCCGAUGGUUUAAGAAAGAGGGUUGUAUUGGGGUCUUGUUUUGUUUGGAUUUGAUUCUGUGGUAUGGGAAAAAGCAAGGUUCUUGUUUUCAUUAUCGGUGAAACUCGAGGGGGGGUUUUAAAGUAGAGGGUUUUGAAAAUAAAUCCUAGUUCUUUGUAUUCAAAAAGACAAUAGAGAAUUCCUUUUUUUUCUUCUUCUUCUUUCGUUUUCUUUUGUUUCUGGGGAGUUCGUGGAUUCUAAGUUUUGAAAGAGGGGAAAUUAACUAAGGUUUGAGGUUGAGGAAUUGGGAAACUAUGAUGGAUGAUGCUUUGUCUGGUUCGAAUUCGCUGCCUCCGUUCCUUACAAAAACGUACGAGAUGGUGGAUGAUCCCUCCACUGAUUUAACCGUGUCGUGGAGCCAGAGCAAUAAGAGCUUUGUCGUGUGGAAUCCGCCUGAUUUUGCGAGGGAUCUGCUGCCGAGGUUCUUUAAGCACAACAACUUCUCCAGCUUCAUCAGACAGCUGAAUACAUAUGGUUUUAGGAAGGUUGAUCCGGACCAAUGGGAAUUUGCGAAUGACGACUUUAUAAGAGGUCAGCCACACCUUUUAAAAAACAUACACAGACGAAAACCUGUCCAUAGCCAUUCAAUGCAGAAUCUGCAAGGACAAGGAAGUGCAUCUCCUUUAAGCGAACCGGAAAGACAGAGCAUGAACGAGGAGAUUGAGAGGCUUAAACGCGAGAGAGAUUGGCUUCUUUUGGAGUUACGGAGGCACGAUGAGGAGCGGCGUGGAUUUGAGCUGCAAAUCCAGCUAUCGAAGGAGCGUUUGCAGCAAGUAGAGCAGCGGCAGCAAAAUUUGAUGUCAUCUGUGGCUGGAUUCUUGCGGAAACCAGGACUUGCCUUGAAUCUCGUGACACAAUUGGAAAAUCACGAGAGAAAGAGAAGAUUGCCAAGAGCAAGUUGCUUCUAUGAUGGAGCCAGCGUUGAAGAUAAUGAGAUGGGGACUUCCCAAAGCGUCCUUAGAGAAAGUGGGGCGAGUACUUCUGAUUCGACAUCGAACAUGGAGCCGUUUGAGCACUUGGAGUCAUUGCUGUUAUUUUGGGAGAAUAUUGUGCAUGAUAUUGAUCAAACUUCCGCAAAACUUAAUUUGAAAGGGGAAUUGGAUGAAUCUCUAAGUUAUGAUGAGAGCCCGGCUAUAUCUUGCUUACAGCUUAAUGUUGACCGUCGGCCUAAAUCUCCUAGAAUUGACAUGAACUCUGAACCUGCUACAGCUGUUGCUCCAGAGUCCAUUGAGCCUGUUGCCUUUAAAGGACAAGCAGCUGGGAAUGCUGCUACCAUGCCCACUGGGGUCAAUGAUGUUUUCUGGGAACAGUUUUUGACUGAGAAUCCUGGUUCAACCGAUGCACAGGAGAUUCGGUCAGAGAGAAAGGAAUUGAUGGCAGAAAGAAUGAAACCAAAUCUGGCAAUCCUGGCAAAUUUUAGUGGAUGAUAAACAAUGACCUUGCAGAGCAGAUGGGAAAUCUUACUCCAGCAGAGAGAACUUGAUAGCUUUUCCGGCUUUUGAUGCCCCAGUGGCACACAUGUAAUAAAUUUAGAAAUUUGACAAUAUGAAGCUGCUAUAGAACGUGCCAUAUGGUACUGCUACAAAGCUGGCCCCGCUGCACUAUGUUAGUACACUUUGGUACCAGACUUCUUGCAUUUGCUGAGCAGUGGAUGCUUUCUUCCCCAUACAACGUGUGCAUAGUGCCUACUUCUCUCCACUUCCAAUUCAUCAUUCGUAGAAAAAGUGAUGUCCAUCAUUGAAUUCAACCAAACCCAUGCCAACUGAAUGGAAACAUGAGCAUAAAGUUCAAGUUAAUCUGUUGAUUGUUUGAUCAGAUGGAUGUGAGGAAUGUGGGGGAGCUUUACGAAGUUGGAUUUUGUGGUUUAUAAUAUGCAAUUUAACCAAUUGAUUUCUUAAUUGCAUGUGCCAGAGUUGGGGCUUGGGGCCAAAAGAUGAAUUGAUUCAGACUUUUGCUGAAAGAUGUACUAAACAUCGAUGGUUUGCUUUCCUGUUGUGCUUUUUGAUAUGUAUUCUUAACAUGGGAGCAUUAAGAAUCCUCUGAAAGUAUUCAGAAAUACUUAAGAAUGGUUGAUCAGCUCAGGCUCGAUACACUUAGUAAGGACGAGGACAUGAGGUGGAUGGUGAAAUCAGAGGCUCGAGAUUUGUGUGUUUAUAACUAACAAAAAAAUAAUACUUUGAGAAUGGAUAUUGGUAUAGAAAAGGUCAUUCCACUCUGUUUAGACCCUUCAUAACUUGGAGAAAUUUUGUUGCCUCAUACAUCAGUUCAUCCAAUGGCCUACCAGAAUGAAGAUGGCAAAAAGAUACUAAACAGGCAUGUAACUUCAACUCAAUACAAUUUCAUUUUGUAUUUCAUCUCCACAAAUGAAUGUUGUAGCUUGAAGUUGCUUACACAGAUUAUUUCUAAAUUCAACAUUUAUUUAUUACAUUUUUAUGCAUUUGAUUUGAAGCUAAAA
Molecule: RNA transcript, 2788 nt
Organism: Carya illinoinensis
Lineage: Eukaryota; Viridiplantae; Streptophyta; Magnoliopsida; Fagales; Juglandaceae
Gene name: heat stress transcription factor A-4a-like
Exons: 3
Source: RefSeq, a predicted model, not a curated record